Fukomys damarensis (Damara mole-rat) is the source of this 1824-nucleotide long non-coding RNA. RefSeq lists it as uncharacterized. NCBI's taxonomy places the organism in Eukaryota, Metazoa, Chordata, Mammalia, Rodentia, Bathyergidae. The transcript has 4 exons. The record is from RefSeq and is a predicted model, not a curated record.
GAGGGAGAAGAAAAGGAAAGAUGAAGAAUUAAGGUGUGUUCAGUACAUGCGGCUACUCCCCACGAGGAGCACGACCACUGUGCACUAACGAGCUAAAGGUGUAAUGAAGAAAAAAUUAGAAACGAAAACAAACACUACAACAAAACCCUCCUCCAGUGACUCUGUAGCGGAGCUGCCUUGAGGAUCACAGCCCGGGGUCACACCGGUCCCCUCCAUUGGGCCUCAGAGCCAGGAAGAGCUGAGCUUCUGGGAAACAGCGGAGGCCUGAUCUUCCGGGCAGUGUUCACCCACUGCCAGCCGGGUUUCUCACUGAUCCUUCGCGGAGCAGCGCAGGCCGAUCUCCUCGGCCGCAGCGCUCACCAGGAGGCACACCUCCUCCUUUCCUCUGAACUUGCCCCUCCGAACGUUCCAUGUCGACUUUCAUUGUUCUCUGGAUUUAACUUCCAUUUUCUUGUCCAACAUUUUUCAUCCGUGAGAGCAAAGCAGACAAACAGGCACAUUCAUAAAGGGUCCCAAGCCCUGGAGGGAACAAGGCUGGGUUCGGAAGCGCAGAGGCAGAAGCACGUCUGGGGCCAUCUGUAAUCAGGCUGUGUGGGGGAGCGGACCACUCCUGCCCCAGACCGAGACCUGCUUGGGAUCACUACACCUCAGCCACAGGCAGUGUCUCAUGCACGUCAAGGAGACAGGCGGUCGUCCGCCCAGGUAGUCGAAACAGAAGCACACGGACCUCAACUACUGACCAACCCAGAAAGACGUGCCCUAAAUACGAAGACGUCAUAGUCCGAAACGCACCUUCCGUGCACAUUAAAGCCUCACCCUGCAAGUCACAAGCCCGGGACCGCCAGGUGCUCCAUCUCCAUGGCAGCCGUAUGCAUGGGAUAAACAGAGGCAAAGAUUCGUUCUUUGAAGAUUCAAUGCGACCGACCUAACCCAGCCAUCACGGAAAACCAUGUCGUACAGGAACAAUGUAUAACUUUAAAGGUUGGUCAACUACUGGGACUGCAAAAAAAAAAAACAGAAGACCAAGAACAGGAAGGUGUCCCCGCCCCCUCGAGCGCAGCACUAACAGACCAGGUGGAGAUGGAGGGCGGGCGUGAGUGCCCGACCCUGCCCAGGGCGAGCCCAGGGACCCAGCCUGUGCAGCAGGAGCCACUGCCACCGGAGCCAGCGUCGGAUCUGGGCCCCAGCUUUCGGAGUCCGAGGGCCUUGAGUCGGCUUUAACGGGGCCUGGCUGUGGGCACACGGGAGUCCAUGCUGGGGAGAGACAUGGGAGCCACCGCUCCUGCCGUGGCUGCCAUCACCUGGGGUCACCCUGGAUCCUGAUACUAAACACAUCUGGUACAGUGAGCAAUCCUGUGAGUGUCACCGUGCACAGACAGCUGAGUCUACAGGCCUGGGAAACAUCACCUCUGUGGCAAUUUGAAGGGAGCACUGCGCCCCAUCUCUGCCGCUGGCAAGCUGCUCGGGUACCUGAGGAAUUGUGGAGCUGUACCUUGGGUGCUUGGGGGAGCACAGCAUUAGUGAAUAAAAAACACUACAGAUUGCAAGGGAGACAAAGGGAGAAGAAAGUGUUGUAUUUGGCAUCUAUUGCAAUACGUUUUUCCUUCCUGCCUCUUAGACAGGGGCCCAUAUUUUACUUUGCACUAGGGCCUUCAAGCCCUGCGGCUGUCCCCAGAUGGAGACGGUGUCAAAGCCUCUCAGAGCCCAGCCCAUGUGCCCCCUACUGAAGCACCUGGUGUCACCUUGGUGUUCCUGGGUUCCACCUCAGAAUCCGGCCUCUGGUCCCCAUUGACUUCCUUCUUCUGGGGGCCCCUCUGCAACUCC